CCUGGUUAAUUGUUCAUGGGCUGGUCUGAUAGAGGUCUGAUAGAUUCAGCGCGGUAUUUUGGCGCCACUUCAAAAAAAAGUCGAUCCUGGCCUCAUUGAUGCCAGUUCAUACUCAUUUCUACCUCCAAUUUCAUUUUAAUUAUAAAAUAAUGGAUUGAAUACUCCUUUCCUUGAAUUUUUCGGUAAUAUAACGAUCACAGAGUCGUUAUCCAUACUCCAGAAUUGCUCAUCUUGGCGAUUAUUCCAUCUAAUGAAUUGUAAAUUUUGCAAUAAUUUAAUGGGCAGCAACUGUGUAAACUUUCAAUCAAUGAACAAAGAACAGUGGUGGGGAUAAUUAUUCAGGAUUUUGUUUACGUUUGAAAGUGAGGUUAUUUUGUGAUCGAAAGUUGUGUAAUCCUAUCAGUAACUCAGUUACUCAGUGACUAAUUGACUAUGGUUUGUAGAGUAGAUUAUAACAGCUUUUUGAAAAAUUUGAAAGUUUCUUUUCUAUUGUGGUAGUUUAAUACCACACUACUUUCACGACCUCUUCAUAGACCUAUAAAAUGAAGCGAGGCAAUGCGGCCAAAAAUGAUAAGCUCUCUAGCUUGAAAAAAGACUUCAGCAAAAAAUUACCAUCAUCCACACCAGUGGCCUCUCCAAGAGUAGCAGGCAGUACCGAAUUGAGUGCCAAAAAGAGGUUGCUCCAAAAGUUAGAAAUGAAACGCCGUCCAGUGCCAAUAGUGUGAAAGAUAAUAAGACGAGUAAAAGCUCUGCCAAUUGCCCAGUACCCAAGCCAAGGAAAAUAGUGAACGCCACUUCCAAUGGCUCAGUCAAGGAGCCUGAAAUUUCAGUCGUUGAUCAAGAAUCUGAUGGGUCCGCAGUCUCUGUAUCCAAUAUCCAAAUGCCCGAACUCUCCAGUAUUGCCAGUAAUGGAAGACCAGAAGUUCAAGAGGGUUGCAACCUGUACCUGAGGUUUUUAUAUGAUGAAGUAAAUGCUCACAAGCUGGAGGCUCCGAGUUUCCUGAGGGUGCCAGAAUCUAGCUACAGUGUAACGCUUCGACAUGCUGCGAAUGAAUUUUCAAACUCCUCUCAUCGAUUAAGGGUUAGAGAUCAUGCUGAAUCCGUUCAACUGGAAAGUCUUUCAAUAGAUGCCUUUUUUGAACUUUUGGAUGGACUAUUUAAGGAAGGAGGGGUCACUUACGAGCGUGUUCUUGUUCUAUUUUUCUUCUGCACCGACAUCACCGUUCGAGCACUCCGUGACAAUUUAGUCAACUUCUUCAAUGACUUAGUUGGUUGGACUCUAAAGUUCUUUUCAGAGAAUUUAUUUGACUGGGUACAACGGAACGGUGGUUGGGCUCGCGUUCUGGAAAAAUCAAUGGACUUUACUUACAAAGCUUUAUUACUGACAACGUUAUGUUUCUCCACACUCGCUCUCAUCUCAUAUCUUCGCAGAAAUGAACCCUGUCCAUACAGAGUAGUUUUUAGAAUCAUUUCUCAACAGUGUUUUCCAAGAAUAGCAUCCACAGUUAGGGUAAAAUUUAGGCCUAAGGGUGCUGAAUAAGUCGAGCACCUUGCGUUCGUAGAAGCUUGCAAGUUGCUGCUUCUCAAUGAUGAUUCAUCUUGACUGGAAUCAUUGGAACCACAAUGUUCAGCUUCAAUUUUUUUGCUGAUUUUUUACUUAGCUUGGACAAUAAUUCUGUCCGACUAAGAUAAGUCUCAAGGUUUAAAUUUUAGAAAUGACUUUUGCAAGUCUGACCUGGGUAUUUGCCCAAUUUUAGCCAUGUAUGACUCGUGGUCUUUGAAUUUUAUCCGUGUGAAGCGCUGUUAAAAAAGUUCCUGCUGAGAGUGGCACAUGUUACAUAGAAUUUUGGGACCAGCCAGUCAUGCAGGAAGCAGUUUUUUUUACAGGUAGAUAAGUGUUAAAGACAAAAAGGAAGGACUCCUCUCUCAUCUGGUGCCGUGUCUGGUUUAAAUCAGGGUCACACAUUUUUCAAUUAAGGAGAAAUACAUCUGGUGUCUUGAAUUGAAUUUGAUGAUAUCAUGUUUUUCCCUCCAUGAUUUACUUUUAUGAAAAGCAAGACCUUAUAGAAAAAUUGGAAGUCUUUAAAAAAUUCCAAAAUAUUGCUACUUAUACGAGCUGAACAUACUGCGUAGCAAUUCAGUUGAAUUUUAGUGUGAACAUUAUGUAGUGUAUUAAUUUAAGAUACUUUUAAACACCUAUCUGUUACUCACUGAUCUCAAAUCUUUCAAUUUUUAGCUUUUUAUCAUUAGUCAUAUGUAUUUUAAGUAGGGCUGUGCGAAUGUGGUUUUUUUGAUGUCGAAUCGAAUCGAAUCGAAUAUUUUGAAAAAGUUUCGAAUUCGAAUCGAAUCGAAUAUUUUUAGUUUUUAUCUAUUUUUAACCAAAAGCAACCUCUAUGUUAGUCGAAGUAUAAAUCGAAUAAAUAAUUAUUUUUCUUUCUAACAUUCAAUUUUGAACAAAGAAAUUACUAUUAUAGAUAAAAAAAUCAAGAAUUAAUCAAUUCAUUUAAUUAUCAAAUGGUUAUGCACACAUUUUGAUUUGCUGGGGAAAGAUUAGAAGGGAGAGAAAAUCGUUUCCUUUAAUUAAGGACGAGCAAUUGAUUGAACUGUUGCGGCACAGUAAAACUGCUGCUUACUGUCCGUAAAUCAAUUUUAUUCUGUUUUACUGCACAUCAAUGCUGAUCUUGCAAAGAUAGUCCAGCAACAUUGUAAAGACCAGGGUGCCGCGCGAGGCGGAGGAGGAUAGGUUAUGGACAUCAAUAUGGCCGAAUGUGUGAGUAUUCGGUCUUUCUCUUUAGAUAUUCGAAGUUUUGUCAAUGUUCUCGAAUAAUUCGAGUAUUCGAGGUUUCUAAGUUCGAGUUCGAAUCGAAUAUCGGAAAAAUUAUUCGAACUCGAAUAUUCGAGAUUUUCGAAUAUUCGCACAGCCCUAAUUUUAAGGCAGUACCGUCCUUGCUGUUUAAAAAGCCGAAGAUAUGCACUACCGACGUCCUAAAUUUCUCCAAGAAACUUUUCGACAUUAACUAGUUUUUCCUAUUUAUUUUAGAAUUUUUAGACGUUAAGAAACUUCCCAAGCAUUCUCUCAAGACGUAGUAUUACCUCUCAUGUUGUUUAAGAUGAGGCAUUUGUCUUUCGAAGCUGUAGGUACUUAAAUGUGUCCAUUAUAAAAAGUAAUUUAUUGAAACUUCACUAAUGAAACCGGUUACAAGAAAAAAGAAAAGAAAACAGUAUUUACACUAAAUGUCAGCGGCCGCAAAAUUUUAUUUCUCAAUUUUAAUUAAUGCAGAUUUAUACUUCAGAUGUUUUGAGUGAAUAUCAAAUCCAGAAAAAUGUAUUUUGCAAUACCUGUUUAGAUAAUGAACUUAUCUAUGUGGCUCACCGGAAGAUUCUAUCAUAGAAUGAUGAAGUCUUUUUUUUCCUUUCUUUAGAAAUUUUAUUUGUGAAGUGCUUUUGCAAAAUUUUGCCUAAUAUUUGAGGACUUGUGUGAAUCUUUUCAGUUUUGAUGUUUCAAACUUUUCUUUUAUAUUUUUAUCCUUAACUGGAAAAAAAUGCUUGUAGAGAGAUGAAAAUUCAACCGUAAAUUCUUCAUGAUUUAACCAUAUUUUCAGCGCAACUCUCAAAUUUAAUCAUCCAAUAGUUUCUUCACAUAAAUAUUAAUUGUUGGUGGCGACUCUGAAACAGACAUAUCGGAGAAUUGCCCCUUUUGCACCACAGUCCUCAAUUAUUAUUAGGUAAUCAGAAUUUUUAAAAAUGAUUGUUAUACAUACAUGACUGCAAACUCUGCUGUAAUUUCUCAGAAUUCUUUAGUCUAUCAGUAAGGCUUUGCUCUAUUAUUUUCAAGACAUCAGUAGUCAAUUUAUGAUCCUCUAUGCUAGAGAGUCUCCUUUCUUCAAUGCCUGUGCUCUUUCAAUGUAUUAGAGUAAGCUAUUAUAGUUUUUAAUUCCAUUACCUAGAUGUUUUCUGAUUGCCAUAAUGUCUUUGUUGAUUUGACCUCUUUUUUUCUUCUUUUUUUGUGCAAAGGAGACUCCGUACUUGUCAUUCGAUAACGUAGAAAUGAAGCAGGAAGUGAUGGCCGUUGUAGAUUUAGUAGCCGUUCUUAAUGUCGUUCGAUAGCGUCAUUGGAUACCUUAUAAAAUUUCCAAUGCAUAUUCAGGAGAACAGUAUACAUAUUAUCCAGUAAAAUUGAUCCAUGUUUCGCCCCCUGAGAAAUGAUGUCAAAUUACAGAAAAAGUCGCCGAAAUUUUCAGAGUAUAACGGCUAUUUUCCAGGAACUUUAUUCCUAGUUUCAUAUACUAGCAUCAUGAUAAUAAGUGCAUUUCCCAACCGGCUACCUCAGCUAUCCUAGCUUUCUAUGGUCGGAUCACUGCUUGAGCGUAGCUUUGCUUUCAUGUGAGCUUUGGAAAGUAUGAAGUUUUAAGGACCAAAGGACUCAUAUCAAAGUGUAAGAGAUGCUUUUUUGUCAGUAGAGUGACAUGAAGACAGUCGGUGACUCAAAAAGAGGGAGCUCUCAAUUUUGGUCAUUUAGUGAUGAAAUGAAUUGCUCAAUUAUGUAAAGCUGAUAUUCUAUUUCAUUAAAAUUCUGGUCAUAAAAUCAAGUGACUUUCUUUUAUUUCCAAGUAUAUUUUAAUUUAGGAAAAAUGCUAUGACUGGGAUAAUAACGAGGGAGAGGGAAAAGACAGUAGAACGAACACACCAUACAUGGAGGAAAUCGAAGCCUACAUUGCGUAAAUAACAGGAUGCUUAGACCUGGCUGCGGUCUCAGACGACUUGUGCCUUGCAGGAUAGGCCGCCCGCUUGACCAGCAUGCGGCAUGGAUAUAGCAAAAAACGAUCAUUUUGGAUAUGUUAUGAAACUUAUAUGAAUUUUCAAGCACUAAUAAUUUGCAUUUACUUACUGUUAAUUACCAAACCUAAGUAUUCUGGUUGAUAUUCAGACCUAAAGGGUAUUU
RNAcentral lists this long non-coding RNA (4942 nucleotides) under Bemisia tabaci. Its description in RNAcentral is "lncRNA ENSSSA2NGG005863". Lineage: Eukaryota; Metazoa; Arthropoda; Insecta; Hemiptera; Aleyrodidae. The record is from RNAcentral.